RNAcentral lists this ribosomal RNA (484 nucleotides) under uncultured bacterium. RNAcentral's name for it is "partial 16S ribosomal RNA". It matches the Rfam family "Bacterial small subunit ribosomal RNA", at positions 28 to 507 of the family's 1533-position model. The record is from RNAcentral.
GAUGAACGCUGGCGGCAGGCCUAACACAUGCAAGUCGAGCGGACGGAGGGGGCGUUCUCCUGUAUGCAGCUGCGGACGGGUGGGUGAGGACUAGGAAGCUGCCUUGUCUUUGGGGAUAACGUCACUAAAGGGGCCCUAAUACCACAUACGUCCUGAGUUUGAAAGGGGGGGAUCAUCAGAGCUCACGCUAUCAGAUGAGCCUAGGUUGGAUUAGCUAGUUGGUUUGGUAAAGGCUUACCAAGGCGACGAUCCAUAACAGGUCUGAGAGGAUGAUCAGUCACACUGGAACUGAGACACGGUCCAGACUCCUACGGGAGGCAGCAGUGGGGAAUAUUGCACAAUGGGCGAAAGCCUGAUGGAGCAAUGCCGCGUGUGUGAUGAAGGUCUUCGGAUUGUAAAGCACUGUAAGUUGGGAGGAAGAUAAGUAAGUUAAUCUCUUGAUGUUUUGACGGUACCAACAGAAUAAGCCACGGCUAACUUCGUG